GACGAACGCUGGCGGCGUGCUUAACACAUGCAAGUCGAACGGAAAGGCCCUGCUUUUGUGGGGUGCUCGUGUGGCGAACGGGUGAGUAACACGUGAGUAACCUGCCCUUGACUUUGGGAUGACUUCAGGAAACUGGGGCUAAUACCGGAUAGGAUCUCCUGCUGCAUGGUGGUGGUUGGAAAGUUUCGGCGGUUGGGGAUGGUCUGGCGGCUUAUCAGCUUGUUGGUGGGGUAGUGGCUUACCAAGGCUUUGACGGGUAGCCGGCCUGUGAGGGUGACCGGCCACAUGGGGACGGAGAUACGGCCCAGACUGCAACGGGAGGCAGCAGUGGGGAAUAUUGCACAAUGGGCGGAAGCCUGAUGCAGCAACGCAGCGUGCGGGAUGACGGCCUUCGGGUUGUAAACCGAUUUCGCCUGUGACGAAGCGUGAGUGACGGUAAUGGGUAAAGAAGCACCGGCUAACUACGUG
Molecule: ribosomal RNA, 468 nt
Filed under: uncultured bacterium
Lineage: Bacteria
Description: partial 16S ribosomal RNA
Rfam family: Bacterial small subunit ribosomal RNA
Source: RNAcentral